GAACUGAAGAGUUUGAUCAUGGCUCAGAUUGAACGCUGGCGGCAGGCCUAACACAUGCAAGUCGAG
Molecule: ribosomal RNA, 66 nt
Filed under: Pseudomonas aeruginosa
Lineage: Bacteria; Pseudomonadati; Pseudomonadota; Gammaproteobacteria; Pseudomonadales; Pseudomonadaceae
Also listed under: 1 other name
Description: partial 16S ribosomal RNA
Rfam family: Bacterial small subunit ribosomal RNA
Source: RNAcentral